GUUCUAGCUCUCCCAUAGCCUUUGAUCCAUUCUGAGUUAAUUUUUAUAUAUUGUGUGAGGUAGGAAUACAACUUCAUUCUUUGGCAUGUAGAUAUCCAGCUGUCCUAGCCCCAUUUGUUG
This is a long non-coding RNA of Balaenoptera musculus (blue whale), 120 nucleotides long. RefSeq lists it as uncharacterized. The transcript has 3 exons. Lineage: Eukaryota; Metazoa; Chordata; Mammalia; Artiodactyla; Balaenopteridae. The record is from RefSeq and is a predicted model, not a curated record.